GUGGGGAAUAUUGCACAAUGGGGGAAACCCUGAUGCAGCGACGCCGCGUGAGUGAAGAAGUAUUUCGGUACGUAAAGCUCUAUCAGCAAGGAAGAAAAUGACGGUACUUGACUAAGAAGCCCCGGCUAACUACGUGCCAGCAGCCGCGGUAAUACGUAGGGGGCAAGCGUUAUCCGGAUUUACUGGGUGUAAAGGGAGCGUAGACGGUAUGGUAAGUCAGAUGUGAAAGCCCGGGGCUCAACCCCGGGACUGCAUUUGAAACUAUCAGACUAGAGUGCAGGAGAGGUAAGUGGAAUUCCUAGUGUAGCGGUGAAAUGCGUAGAUAUUAGGAGGAACACCAGUGGCGAAGGCGGCUUUCUGGACUGUAACUGACGCUGAGGCACGAAAGCGUGGGGAGCAAACAGGAUUAGAAACCCUGGUAGUCC
RNAcentral lists this ribosomal RNA (425 nucleotides) under uncultured bacterium. Its description in RNAcentral is "partial 16S ribosomal RNA". It matches the Rfam family "Bacterial small subunit ribosomal RNA", at positions 354 to 796 of the family's 1533-position model. The record is from RNAcentral.